RNAcentral lists this ribosomal RNA (535 nucleotides) under Listeria monocytogenes. Its description in RNAcentral is "partial 23S ribosomal RNA". It matches the Rfam family "Bacterial large subunit ribosomal RNA", at positions 141 to 673 of the family's 2925-position model. The record is from RNAcentral. Lineage: Bacteria; Bacillati; Bacillota; Bacilli; Caryophanales; Listeriaceae.
UCGGAUAGUAUCCUUACGUGAAUACAUAGCGUAAGGAAGGCAGACCCAGGGAACUGAAACAUCUAAGUACCUGGAGGAAGAGAAAGAAAAAUCGAUUUCCUGAGUAGCGGCGAGCGAAACGGAAAGAGCCCAAACCAAGAAGCUUGCUUCUUGGGGUUGUAGGACACUCUAUACGGAGUUACAAAAGAAAGUUAUAAAUGAAGCGGUCUGGAAAGGCCCGCCAAAGACGGUAACAGCCCGGUAGUUGAAAUGGCUUUCCCUCCAGAGUGGAUCCUGAGUACGGCGGAACACGUGAAAUUCCGUCGGAAUCCGGGAGGACCAUCUCCCAAGGCUAAAUACUCCCUAGUGACCGAUAGUGAACCAGUACCGUGAGGGAAAGGUGAAAAGCACCCCGGAAGGGGAGUGAAACAGUUCCUGAAACCGUGUGCCUACAAGUAGUUAGAGCCCGUUAAUGGGUGAUAGCGUGCCUUUUGUAGAAUGAACCGGCGAGUUACGAUUUGUUGCAAGGUUAAGCGGAAAAAGCGGAGCCGUAGCG